Molecule: long non-coding RNA, 556 nt
Organism: Lathyrus oleraceus (garden pea)
Lineage: Eukaryota; Viridiplantae; Streptophyta; Magnoliopsida; Fabales; Fabaceae
Exons: 2
Source: RefSeq, a predicted model, not a curated record
UUCAUUAAAAAAAUUAGGAAGAAAAGAACUUCCCCUCAAACCGAACCGGAUCGGCCGACCGGUUCACUAGAUUGGACUAGUUCUUGAAAUACCUCAUCCCCCUUAGGUGUUGUGAUUUUAUAUCUUCUCCAACUCUUCCAAACUCCAUUGAUACUUUUUCAAGGUUUUUGGGCAAGGCAAACAAAGUGGUGGAAUAAUUUUCUUAAAGCACUAUGGGAAGAAGGAGAAAGAGUCAUGGAAAGAGAGCUUGAAGGAUGGAAAGUGUUGAGAAUCCUUUCAUGAAACAUGUUAAUGACAUAAUUGAAUUUUUCAUGAAAAUUGUGAAUUUUUGUGAUUAAAUGAAAGUGGAAUAGGUCUAUGAAUAUUUAGGAUCCAAAAUUGAGUCAAUAGUCAAAAAUUGACCAAAAGUUAAAAGUUGACCAAAAGUCAACAGUUGACCAAAAAGUCAAUCAUACCAAAAUGAUGUAAUUUUUUCCUUUUUCCUUGUAAUCCCUUAUUUUCACUUGUCUAUCACAUAAUAAGUCUUUUAUUAUGAAUAAAUGAAAUGUUAUAUGAA